This 900-nucleotide ribosomal RNA is filed under the name uncultured bacterium. RNAcentral describes it as "bacterial SSU rRNA". It matches the Rfam family "Bacterial small subunit ribosomal RNA", at positions 1 to 899 of the family's 1533-position model. The record is from RNAcentral.
UAGAGUUUGAUCCUGGCUCAGGAUGAACGCUAGCUACAGGCUUAACACAUGCAAGUCGAGGGGCAGCAUGAACUUAGCUUGCUAAGUUUGAUGGCGACCGGCGCACGGGUGAGUAACACGUAUCCAACCUUCCGUUUACUCAGGGAUAGCCUUUCGAAAGAAAGAUUAAUACCUGAUAGUAUGGUGAGAUUGCAUGAUAGCACCAUUAAAGAUUUAUUGGUAAACGAUGGGGAUGCGUUCCAUUAGGUAGUAGGCGGGGUAACGGCCCACCUAGCCGACGAUGGAUAGGGGUUCUGAGAGGAAGGUCCCCCACAUUGGAACUGAGACACGGUCCAAACUCCUACGGGAGGCAGCAGUGAGGAAUAUUGGUCAAUGGGCGAGAGCCUGAACCAGCCAAGUAGCGUGAAGGAUGAAGGUCCUACGGAUUGUAAACUUCUUUUAUACGGGAAUAAAGUAUCCUACGUGUAGGAUUUUGUAUGUACCGUAUGAAUAAGCAUCGGCUAACUCCGUGCCAGCAGCCGCGGUAAUACGGAGGAUGCGAGCGUUAUCCGGAUUUAUUGGGUUUAAAGGGAGCGCAGACGGGAGAUUAAGUCAGUUGUGAAAGUUUGCGGCUCAACCGUAAAAUUGCAGUUGAUACUGGUUUCCUUGAGUGCAGUUGAGGCAGGCGGAAUUCGUGGUGUAGCGGUGAAAUGCUUAGAUAUCACGAAGAACCCCGAUUGCGAAGGCAGCUUGCUAAACUGUAACUGACGUUCAUGCUCGAAAGUGUGGGUAUCAAACAGGAUUAGAUACCCUGGUAGUCCACACGGUAAACGAUGGAUACUCGCUGUUGGCGAUAUACUGUCAGCGGCCAAGCGAAAGCAUUAAGUAUCCCACCUGGGGAGUACGCCGGCAACGGUGAAA